Molecule: ribosomal RNA, 397 nt
Filed under: uncultured bacterium
Lineage: Bacteria
Description: partial 16S ribosomal RNA
Rfam family: Bacterial small subunit ribosomal RNA
Source: RNAcentral
AUACGUAGGUGGCAAGCGUUGUCCGGAAUUAUUGGGCGUAAAGCGCGCGCAGGUGGUUCCUUAAGUCUGAUGUGAAAGCCCCCGGCUCGACCGGGGAGGGUCAUUGGAAACUGGGGAACUUGAGUGCAGAAGAGGAUAGUGGAAUUCCAAGUGUAGCGGUGAAAUGCGUAGAGAUUUGGAGGAACACCAGUGGCGAAGGCGACUGUCUGGUCUGUAACUGACACUGAGGCGCGAAAGCGUGGGGAGCAAACAGGAUUAGAUACCCUGGUAGUCCACGCCGUAAACGAUGAGUGCUAAGUGUUGGGGGGUUUCCGCCCCUCAGUGCUGCAGCUAACGCAUUAAGCACUCCGCCUGGGGAGUACGGUCGCAAGACUGAAACUCAAAGGAAUUGACGGGG